UACGUAGGGACCAAGCGUUGUCCGGAAUCAUUGGGCGUAAAGAGCGUGUAGGCGGAUUUGUUAGUCAGGGGUGAAAUCCCGGGGCUCAACCUCAGAACUGCCUUUGAUACUGCAAAUCUCGAGUCCGGAAGAGGUAAGUGGAAUUCCUAGUGUAGAGGUGAAAUUCGUAGAUAUUAGGAAGAACACCAGUGGCGAAGGCGGCCCACUGGUCCGGUACUGACGCUGAGGUGCGAAAGCGUGGGGAGCAAACAGG
This 253-nucleotide ribosomal RNA is filed under the name uncultured bacterium. RNAcentral describes it as "partial 16S ribosomal RNA". It matches the Rfam family "Bacterial small subunit ribosomal RNA", at positions 524 to 776 of the family's 1533-position model. The record is from RNAcentral.